RNAcentral lists this unclassified non-coding RNA (264 nucleotides) under Hevea brasiliensis (rubber tree). Lineage: Eukaryota; Viridiplantae; Streptophyta; Magnoliopsida; Malpighiales; Euphorbiaceae. The record is from RNAcentral.
CUGUAAUAUACUUCAAUCAGCCGCUGUUUGUGGAGCUAUUGAAGGAUGCGGAGCGAGUAUACGGAUACAAUCAUUCGGGUGGAAUAAAGAUACCUUGUGGGUAUUCGGAGUUUGUGAAGCUGAAGAUCAGGAUUGCUGCAUGGGAUAGUAGCCACAACAGUAGCUGCAAGUAGCAUAAGCAUUGGUGAUGUGGCAACAAUUACAAUUUUCCCCUGUAAUUUUAUUUACGGAAAUUCUGAUUCCACUAAUUUUUGUGUAUGCCAG